Molecule: non-coding RNA, 118 nt
Organism: Acanthosepion pharaonis
Lineage: Eukaryota; Metazoa; Mollusca; Cephalopoda; Sepiida; Sepiidae
Source: the annotation of a GenBank genome assembly
ACAGCCAUAUCACAUUGAAACACUGAUGCUAAUUCUCAUAUGAUCACUAAAGUUAAGCAAUGCUGAGCCCGGUCAGUAUCUAGAUGGGUGACUGCUUGGGAAUACCAGGUACUGUAAG